GGCGUGAUAGCUCAGUUGGUUAGAGCACAGCACUCAUAAUGCUGGGGUCGGUGGUUCAAGUCCACCUCACGCUA
Molecule: transfer RNA, 74 nt
Filed under: Lentibacter algarum
Lineage: Bacteria; Pseudomonadati; Pseudomonadota; Alphaproteobacteria; Rhodobacterales; Roseobacteraceae
Description: alpha proteobacterium ZXM100 tRNA
Rfam family: tRNA
About the family: Transfer RNA (tRNA) molecules are approximately 80 nucleotides in length.
Source: Rfam by way of RNAcentral